This 74-nucleotide transfer RNA is filed under the name Ilisha elongata (elongate ilisha). RNAcentral describes it as "tRNA-Lys". It matches the Rfam family "tRNA". Rfam says of the family: Transfer RNA (tRNA) molecules are approximately 80 nucleotides in length. The record is from RNAcentral. Lineage: Eukaryota; Metazoa; Chordata; Actinopteri; Clupeiformes; Pristigasteridae.
CACUGGGAAGCUAAAUAGGGUAUAGCAUUAGCCUUUUAAGCUAAACACUGGUGGCCCCCAACCACCCCCAGUGA